This 300-nucleotide unclassified non-coding RNA is filed under the name uncultured Sordariomycetes. RNAcentral describes it as "sequence contains 5.8S rRNA gene, ITS2". The stretch from base 1 to 71 matches the Rfam family "5.8S ribosomal RNA", at positions 84 to 154 of the family's 154-position model. The record is from RNAcentral. Lineage: Eukaryota; Fungi; Ascomycota; Sordariomycetes.
GUGAGUCAUCGAAUCUUUGAACGCACAUUGCGCCCGUUAGCAUUCUAGCGGGCAUGCCUGUUCGAGCGUCAUUUCAACCCUCAGAACCCCUGUAUUUUUGUACGGGGCGUGCUGGUGUUGGGGCCUUCUGCGGCUGCCGCAGGCCCUGAAAAACAGUGGCGGGCUCCGCUAUACUCCGAGCGCAGUAAUACUUCUCGCUCAGGGCGUGUAGUGGGGAUCUUGUCUUAAAAAAACUUUUUAAUGGUUGACCUCGGAUCAGGUAGGAAUACCCGCUGAACUUAAGCAUAUCAAUAAGCGGAG